Rhineura floridana is the source of this 3139-nucleotide RNA transcript. RefSeq lists it as uncharacterized. The record is from RefSeq and is a predicted model, not a curated record. Lineage: Eukaryota; Metazoa; Chordata; Lepidosauria; Squamata; Rhineuridae. The transcript has 4 exons.
GGAGACAGAAACGCGUAGGGAAUCUUCUUACUCAUUUCUCACAUCUCCUUCUAAAGUGAAGGGUCAAAUCUGUAAAGAAGUUUGGAGCAGCCAUGUUGAAAGAUAGGGGCAGGGCACUGCAGCCAGGGGGUUGCCUACCCUGCUUGGAUAUGGAUAUUGUUGCAGAGGAUCCCUAGUCCAGCUUUACCAACAGCACAAUCCAAACCAUGUCUACUCAGAAGUCCUAUUGAGUUCUAUGGGGCUUGCAGUCUUCUUUGGAUCAAUCUGAGCAGUGGUACACAAAGCUUAGAUCCUGCCUGAUAUCCCCUGGUUCAGUAGUUCAAGACCUUCCAUCACGGCAACUCCUUAUAAGAUGACAAGCAGCAAAAUGACAUUAACAUUUUGAGGAGCUUCUAGAGAUGGCCACAGGAAAGAACAUUGGGUCAUCCCUUGUAAUCUUUAUACUGCCUAGAAAUUCCUAUUCGGAGUCUCUGUCAUUCUUCAAGUGAAGGUGAAAGCUUGUGAGAGGAUGAGAGCAAAUAGCAGAAUCACAUGGUACAACUUAACAUCUGCACAUGGAACACUACUUGGAGAGAAAGGAGGCUAUAUAAGAAUCUUCUUAAUAUGAACUGGUUGCUGUCUUCAGAAAUUGCAGCUGUGAGAAAGCCUGGUCCAGACUGGGACCACAGCAUGACCCUCAUGAGGAGGGCAGAAGAAGGGCAACAUCUGAUACUAGUGCCAAGAUCAACUGAAGGCAAUAUAUAAUUUAGGGGCAGGAGGCCAAAAAGAUACUCUGCAACCCACAGAUCACUGACGAUCCACAUCCCCUUGCUUAUUUAAAUUCAGUUGCCAAUUUGCUGAACGGCUUGUUCCAUUAUCAACUUGAAUAUGCCCUUUCCCAUAGCAGCCAAUUGAUGCACUGCGUGCCAAUGAAGUGAACUCUUCCUUGCUGAGACAAAUUGAGAAGAUGAGCAUUCUAAAUAUUCCUGCCAACACACAUGCAAAAAUAAUUUUUACUAAUCUGGUAAAGAAAACAUUGAACAGUUAAACUAUAAACAAAUUAAAUGCAUUACAUUCUCUGCUAUGGUUCUAAAAUCAUCUGAGCUUGAAAUUAAGAUUGGCAAUCCAUGAAUGCAUUUGGCAAAGGAAUAUUAACUAUUAAUUGUUCAAUUUUCCAAUAACCAAUCAGAAGCUGGCAUUGUUAAUAACUCUCUUUGCACAUUCUCUAAAAGGUGUGUUGCGCAGCUGCUCAGAAAGUUUUUCUAAAUUUGAAUGGAGUUUUCAAAUAUACACUCUUCACUGCCUGCUCUUGCUUUGACUUCUUUGUCUUCUUUCAAAUUCACCAUUCAACCCUGAUGCAGCAGUGGGCUGCAUGAGGGCCAAUAAGCUGAAGAUGAAUCCCAACAAGAUGGAAGUCCUGUGGCUGGAUGUUUCUCUGUUCUGGACAAGGUUGCACUCCUCCCACCGCAAAAUGCAGGCGCAUAAUCUGGGGGUGCUCUUUGAUCCAGCUUUGUCACUGGAGGCACAAGUGGUCUUUUACAAGCUUUGGCUAUGAGCAUUGCUGGACAGAGAUAGCCUUGACACUGUGUCUCAGGCAUUGGCAAACUCAAGACUGGGCAACAGUAAUGAACUCUAUGUGUGGCUGCCCUUAAGGAUGGUUCAGAAGUUGCAGCUAGGGCAGAAUAUGGUGGUUAGGUUGCUGGGUGGAACAUCUUGCUGGAUACAUAUUAUACCACUCUUAAAAGAGCUCUACUAGUUUCCAAUAUGGUACCAGGCCAGGUUUCAGGUUUCAGUUUUGCCUUAUAAAACCCUAAAUAACUCGGGACUGAGCUGUCUGAGGGAGUGCCUUCUCCAUAUUGACCUGCCUGAUCACUAGGAUCAUCUGGUGAGGCCCUGAUGCUGUGCCACAAUGUACAGAGACACAUUUGACAGCAAGUAACAGGAUGGCCUUUUCAGACAUGGUGCCUUCUUUUUGGAACCACUUCCCCUCUGAAUUAAGGCAGGCACCAGCAUUGAUGGUGUUUCAGUAUCUGCUACAAAAGUGAUUUAUUCUUGCAAGCCUUUGCUGAACAUUGAUACCAGUUGACCAUAAUAAUGGCAGAGCAAUCCAAACCCCUGAUCCACCAUGCUGGAGGGGGUUUGGAAGGGUUGGAGGUGUCCACCCAGCCCUGUCCAGUGCAAAUAUUCUGACUUAGUAUAAGGCAGUACUCCCAAGGAAACUUUCCUGUAAUUUGAUGUCCAUAACUUGCAAAUGCAUGAGAAAGCAGGGAGCACAAAACACUAUUAUCAGUGGCUGGGAUAUGUUUUUGUGUUAUAUGCCCUGGCUCCUAUGGAUCAGAAAGGUCCACAGGAUUCCAUGCAAAGGACAAGUGGAGAUCCAGCUCAUUUGCCCACCACCUAAGCCACCUUUUCCUGUGGAGGCCCCACACCUCUGGAACGCCUUACCUGUUGACAUCCAGAAGUCUACAGCAAUUGCUUUGGAAAGCUGUGAAAACCUCUCUGUUUCAGGUGACUUAGGAUCAUAGAAAGCUAUCUGAUACUGAGUCAGACCAUUGGUCUAUCUAGCUCAGAAUUGUCUACAUUGACUGGGAGUGUUCUCCAGGGUUUCAAGCAAGGGACAUUCACAUCUCUAUCUGGAGAUGCCAGGGGUUGAACCUGAGGCCUCGUGCUUCAAAACAGAUACUCUACCACUGAUCUGUAUGUAUUAGGUAGACAACAUUGUUCAGCUUUUGCUGCUGAAUUUUCUGAUCUGUAUUAUUUGAAUUUGGGGUUGUGGGGAAGAGUCUAUUCUAUUACAGUUGAUGUACUCUUACUUGAGUUGUUAAGUUGUCUUGGAGGGAUUUUUAUUUGGAUAGGUGGCAUAUAAUUCUUUUUAAAAUAUCAGUGCAUACAUAUUCACCAUACCUGUUGACUAGAAUCAGGAAUGGGAUGGAUAAAGGUGAAUUAAAAACAACAACUAGAUAAAGGCACUUAAAAAGCUAAAUGAGAGGGGCAUAGUAAGUCCUACACAUAUUUACUCCUAAGCUCCACUGUGUUCACAUGUUCAACUGGAGCCAGCUCUAUUCCAAGUAUCUUCCAUCUGAGUGAUAAAGCUCAUGUAUACAAGGGAUGCUGCUCCCACCCUUUAGUGGGGACAAACCUAUCACAUACACCUUUUUGA